Long non-coding RNA from Carassius gibelio (silver crucian carp), 1793 nucleotides. RefSeq lists it as uncharacterized. The transcript is spliced from 3 exons. The record is from RefSeq and is a predicted model, not a curated record. Lineage: Eukaryota; Metazoa; Chordata; Actinopteri; Cypriniformes; Cyprinidae.
UUCGCUGCGCUAACAGGAUCGGCCCCGCCUCCAGGAUCGGCCCCGCCUGCGCUUUUAAUCAGCGGACCCAGAACAGAUCACAUAGGGAUCCGCACUUCGGACGCGCCUUAGAUAACCGCCGUGUGGGAAUUAGUCGGGAUCUCCUUCGCGUGAAGUUCGGCUGCCAAAUUUCUUCUUUGGCCACGAUUGGUGGAGAGAGUGGCGUGGAACAUCCUCUCUCGGAUGUUCACAGAAGAAGUGGCCAAGACCAUAAGCUCGAAGGGGGCAAAUGGCAAGAGGGCAUUCAGUCACAUGUCGUCGAAGACACUAAUGUACCGUGCUGUACGUGCAAAUAGUUUGUGUCGCACAGCCACAGACAUUCAACGUUAUGCCAUACGAUGGUUUAACUUGGCUGCAGACCGUGGUGCGGCAAGGAGGCGCCUGACCAACCGGUCUAACCAGGCUGAGGCAGAUGAUUAGGCUACUUAUGGUCAUGUUUUCUUUUGUUAAAUAAAAUUUUUAUUUGUUUCAAAUUGUUUCAGUUUUAAUUUAAAUAGUCUGUCGCAGGCUACAUGUUGUUUUCCAAUUCAGAGACCAUGCCCUUUACAAAUUCUAUUGGCCUGGAGCCCAGUGUGUUUAAACCCCACCACGAUCAACUGCAAGAUAGAAUACAACCAACUUACUGCUCCUUUUCAAUAAUCCGACUUGCAUUCCAAUACUAAAAAAACGUAUGUUUGCUACUUAUGUCUCAUGUCAACUGUAAAUGGUUACAUACAACUUAACAGAUAUAAAACACAUUCCCAUUUCCCAGAAUUUCAUUAUAAUCAGAAAACAUCUCCUCUUGUAGUACUUACAACUAGUCUUGCUGAUCCUAUCACUUAGAACUGACACUGUUUAAAAACAGCACUCACUGAUGGUCUUUUUGUACUCUACAUAAGCCGCGUUUCCACCGCAGGAACUUUACCCAGGAACUAGGGACUUGGUCCGGUACUUGGUGUGUUUCCACCGCAGGAACCAGGAACUAAAUAAAAGUUCCGGGUAAAAAAAUGCCCCUCAGAAAGUCCCUGCUGGCGAGGUGGUACUUUUUCAAAGUUCAGGAACUUUCGGGGGCGGGACUUUGGCGCUAAACAUUCUGAUUGGUUGAGUUCACGCAGCAUUGGUUGAGUUCAACCACCAUUUAUUCGGAUAAACAUUUUCAAAAUAUUACUGUUAUUGUGUCAUGAAAUGAAAUUUUAAAAGUAUUUCAGGCGAGAAUGUAGUUGUUUGAAACUCAAAUAUGUUGUUUAUUUAUAAAGACAGCGCCUAUUUAAAAAUGUGUUUCGCCGAUCUCUGAGACGGUGAGCUCCACUCGAUCAGCGAGAGCUCAGUGAUCAUCUAUCCGCCCAGAGGCAGCCUCACCUUGGAUAGACCUUCUGAUAUGUGCCGCUGGCUCUGAUGUGUCUUUAGUGGUUAAACAUAACAUAUAAUUCAGCUGCGGGGUAAAUCUAACAGGUUUUCUUUGGUCUGUAUUCAAUUUAUCUAUAUGUUAAAAUGAAAAUAAAAAAGGCGAAUUUAUAUAAUAUUUCGUUUCAUUGUAAUGGCUGCACACAUUUCCCUGAACUAAGUACAUUUCUGCAGCUGUUAUUAUGUUUAAAUGAAAAUGAAAGGAGGCAGUGGUAUUUUAUAUCCUAUUUCGUUUUAUUGUAAAUAUACUGAGGGGAAAAUUGCAGUAGCCAAAGCGAUCUGAGUUCACGCAGCAUUGGUUGAGUUCAACCACCAUUUAUUCGGAUAAUUUUCAAAUAUUACUGUUAUUGUGUCAUGAAAUGUAAUUUUAA